AGGAUGAACGCUGGCGGUCUGCUUAACACAUGCAAGUCGAACGGAGUAGCAAUACUUAGUGGCGGACGGGUGAGUAACGCGUGAGAAUCUACCUUCAGGACGGAGACAACAGUUGGAAACGACUGCUAACCCCCGAUGUACCGAAAGGGCAAAUAUUUAUAGCCUGAAGAAGAGCUCGCGUCCGAUUAGCUAGUUGGAGAGGUAAAAGCUCACCAAGGCGACGAUCGGUAGCUGGUCUGAGAGGACGAUCAGCCACACUGGGACUGAGACACGGCCCAGACUCCUACGGGAGGCAGCAGUGGGGAAUAUUGCACAAUGGGCGCAAGCCUGAUGCAGCGACGCCGCGUGAGGGAUGACGGCCUUCGGGUUGUAAACCCCUUUCAGCAGGGGAGAAGCCUUUCGGGGUGACGGUACCUGCAGAAGAAGCACCGGCUAACUACGUGCCAGCAGCCGC
RNAcentral lists this ribosomal RNA (454 nucleotides) under uncultured bacterium. RNAcentral's name for it is "SSU rRNA". It matches the Rfam family "Bacterial small subunit ribosomal RNA", at positions 26 to 518 of the family's 1533-position model. The record is from RNAcentral.